This 1402-nucleotide long non-coding RNA is filed under the name Numida meleagris (helmeted guineafowl). RNAcentral's name for it is "lncRNA (ENSNMEG00000004494.1)". The record is from RNAcentral. Lineage: Eukaryota; Metazoa; Chordata; Aves; Galliformes; Numididae.
GAAGGUCGCACGUUCUCUCCUUCUCGCCCCGUCCCACCGUCACACCCGGGGCUCGUGGCGCUGUCGGGGGCGGCAGUGCCGCGGUGUUUCCGAGGGACGGAGGGGGACGAGGGGUUUUGCUUUCCGCCUUCCCCCGACGGGGGCGGCUUUUUGCGUCGUUGUGGGAAGAGGGCGCGGGGGGAGGCUCUCCAUACGUGCGGUUCCUAAAGUUCAGCCCUAAAAACGACCCCAGGCGCUUCCCCCGAAGGAAAUCGGGGGGCUGGUGGGGAUGAAGCCGCGCUCGGGAUCGUCCUCGCCAGAAGAAAUGCAAUGUAACAACCGCAGCUCCUUGCGUUGCAUAGGAGAUUCUACUCCGGGAGAGGCGAUUUGCUACCAGAAGUCCUGCUCAGAUGAAGGAAAAGCCUCACUUUUCCCCAUUGAUUUUGAUUUGAUGUGUCACGGGCUGUGACCUUCUGCUGGACCUUCCGAGGGUUGCUUAGCAUCAAGCCACUGAUUGGAGUAUUUCAACUCAGUGAUCUAAUUGAGUGUUCAUGUCAUAACAUAGCGAAUAUUGUCUGGUCUCCCAUAAUGAAGCGGACCAGCCAAUGGCACAUCACCAAAAACUUCAAGAGAGCUUCCGUUCCUCUGAAGUGGGAGCCGCGUUCCUGCCCACCUCCCCGUGCGCUCCCAGCCCGCUUAAUUGGAGCGCUGCUGCUGAUGAACGGCCUUUGCUCGGGGGAAGAGGGGGGAAGGUUCUCUCCAUUCAUUUGCAGACGGCAGAGCCGCCCAAAUUGACCCAAUUAGACGGAAGGGCUGCGCUUCACCGACGGAGCGGCCGCGCAGGAGCUGGGAGCGGCCGCUCGUGCGGCGGCAGAAAGGAGCGCAAAUCCCGCUCGCAGUUCGCCUGUGCGGCGUGUUUAUGCAAAACAGCGGGUUUCUGGGUGGACCGAGAGCUGCAGCGCAGUGCAAUCUGCGCAGCGCCUUUGCCCAGGCGGUGUUGUCGUUGGCAAGAGGAAAAUGAAAUAUAAGCAGGGAAGCAUUUUAAUGGGGAAGGAGGGAAUUCACAACUGUUAAUUAUUUGGUGACCUUGUAUUCGAUUUGUUUGAGCCCCUUAUAAAAACACUAAUGCAGACCAGACGGCCGGAGCACGCCGCGGCAGCCGCCUCCAAACAGAGCCGGGCGCCCGGGGAAGAAGCGAGCGGCCCGGCCCGGCCCGGCCCGACCCGACCCGACCCGGCUCGGCUCGGCUCGGCUCGGCCGUAUUGCUACCGCUCUGCCGAAGCGGAGCGAAGGGAGCAGGGGCUGCUCGGGGCUGGGGAGGGAAGCAGAUCGUCUCCAAAGCCGCUACGAGACCAAACUUUGUGAAAAACACUGAUUUCGGAAGGGGUUUCUUUUUCUUUCUUUUUUACUUUCUUUCUUUCUU